Non-coding RNA from Microcebus murinus (gray mouse lemur), 801 nucleotides. The record is from RefSeq and is a predicted model, not a curated record. NCBI's taxonomy places the organism in Eukaryota, Metazoa, Chordata, Mammalia, Primates, Cheirogaleidae.
GCCGCCCUCUCCCCUUGCUGUGCCACCUGUGUCCCACAGAGGGCGCUGCGCCCCUCUGGUUGGUGUCUGUUGGUUCAGAGGCUCUCGGACCUAAAGCACAAAUUAAGUCCAUUGUGCCAGAGAGCCCUGCUCUGGGGGCUCAACCCUAACCCUAACCUAACACUAACACUAGCCCUAACCCUCAAGCCAUGCCUGGACGGCAAGAUGCGGUGUCCCUUCCUGUUGCCACUGUUGGCCACUGUGUGUCAUUCUGAUGUCUCCUGCAGGGGCACACCACGACCAACGACAAACGUAGGCGCCUGCGGGCUUCCCGACAGCACAGCCGGACAACGACACCCAGACCGGCCACAACACCCUACCCGCUGAGAGUUGCAGGCCCAGAGGGGCAGCACAGGUGACAGUGAGUCCUGGGCCGGAAGAGACGCAGCUUCACCCUGAUGAAGAAGGAAACAGUCCCACGGUCAUCCAGAGAAGCAGUGAGUGGCUGGCGCGUCAUGAAGCGCUGAGGCCUGGCCACCCAGGGCUGGGAAACAGAAUCUCUUUGUGCCAACCCUGACGUCAUGGACAGUUUGUCCGGAGCACGGACCCUGAGGCCGGGCUGCCUGGUUCAGCUUUAGCUUUCCCGCUCACUGGCUGUGCAGCCUCGGGGAACUGGAGGAGCCUCUGCCCGCCUGCUCACCCCCAACGUGGGGGACGCCUCAGUGAUCGCCGGGGGGAUUCACUGAGUAACGCGUGGAGAGACAGUGCGACCGUCAGGGGCUGCAGGGACCACACGCUUCAGGUGACCUCCUGAGCAAGUCC